GUCCACUGGGGAGAGAGUCACAGAGUCAGUGCUGGGGGCAGGGGCUGGUCACUGGGAUCAAAGGGAAAUUAACCUGUGGAUGGAGGGGGAGU
This is a non-coding RNA of Chelonoidis abingdonii (Abingdon island giant tortoise), 92 nucleotides long. NCBI's taxonomy places the organism in Eukaryota, Metazoa, Chordata, Testudines, Testudinidae. The record is from RefSeq and is a predicted model, not a curated record.